RNAcentral lists this unclassified non-coding RNA (207 nucleotides) under soil metagenome. RNAcentral's name for it is "partial contains 5.8S ribosomal RNA, internal transcribed spacer 2, and large subunit ribosomal RNA". The record is from RNAcentral.
AACCAUAGAAACCUGCGGAGUACCUGCGGAGGGAUCAUUACCGAGUUUACAACUCCCAAACCCCUGUGAACAUACCUAUACGUUGCCUCGGCGGAUCAGCCCGCGCCCUGUAAAACGGGACGGCCCGCCCGAGGACCCUAAACUCUGUUUUUAGUGGAACUUCUGAGUAAAACAAACAAAUAAAUCAAAACUUUCAACAACGGAUCU